Meriones unguiculatus (Mongolian gerbil) is the source of this 103-nucleotide small nuclear RNA. Lineage: Eukaryota; Metazoa; Chordata; Mammalia; Rodentia; Muridae. The record is from Ensembl.
GCUUACACCAUCAGCAUAUACUAAAAUUAGAACAACACAGAGAGUAUUAGCAUGGCCCCUGCAUAAGGAUGACAUGGAAAUUUGAGAAGUCUUCCAUACAUUA